Molecule: ribosomal RNA, 433 nt
Filed under: uncultured bacterium
Lineage: Bacteria
Description: partial 16S ribosomal RNA
Rfam family: Bacterial small subunit ribosomal RNA
Source: RNAcentral
AACGAACGCUGGCGGCAUGCCUAACACAUGCAAGUCGAACGAAGGCUUCGGCCUUAGUGGCGCACGGGUGCGUAACGCGUGGGAAUCUACCCGUUGGUUCGGAAUAACAGCUGGAAACGGCUGCUAAUACCGGAUGAUGACGAAAGUCCAAAGAUUUAUCGCCAGAGGAUGAGCCCGCGUUGGAUUAGGUAGUUGGUGGGGUAAAUGCCUACCAAGCCGACGAUCCAUAGCUGGUCUGAGAGGAUGAUCAGCCACACUGGGACUGAGACACGGCCCAGACUCUCACGGAAGGAAGCAGUGCGGAAUAUUGGACACUGGGCGCAAGCCGGAUGCAGUCAGGCCGCGUGGGUGAUGAAGGCCCGAGGGUUGUAUAGCUCUGUUACCCGGGAAGAUAAUGACGGUACCGGACGAAUAAGCCACGGCUAACUCCGUG